CAAGGCAAGUGAAGAAAAAAAAUACAAUCACUUAUACUACACACUGAAAAUAUUCAUAUGUAGAUAAAAAAUUCUCUCUAAUUUCUGAUGCCUAU
Molecule: small nucleolar RNA, 95 nt
Organism: Cannabis sativa
Lineage: Eukaryota; Viridiplantae; Streptophyta; Magnoliopsida; Rosales; Cannabaceae
Product: small nucleolar RNA R16
Exons: 1
Source: RefSeq, a predicted model, not a curated record